Molecule: ribosomal RNA, 493 nt
Filed under: uncultured bacterium
Lineage: Bacteria
Description: partial 16S ribosomal RNA
Rfam family: Bacterial small subunit ribosomal RNA
Source: RNAcentral
GAGUGAACGCUGGCGGUAGGCCUAACACAUGCAAGUCGAACGGCAGCACAGUAAGAGCUUGCUCUUACGGGUGGCGAGUGGCGGACGGGUGAGGAAUACAUCGGAAUCUACUUUUUCGUGGGGGAUAACGUAGGGAAACUUACGCUAAUACCGCAUACGACCUACGGGUGAAAGCAGGGGAUCUUCGGACCUUGCGCGAUUGAAUGAGCCGAUGUCGGAUUAGCUAGUUGGCGGGGUAAAGGCCCACCAAGGCGACGAUCCGUAGCUGGUCUGAGAGGAUGAUCAGCCACACUGGAACUGAGACACGGUCCAGACUCCUACGGGAGGCAGCAGUGGGGAAUAUUGGACAAUGGGCGCAAGCCUGAUCCAGCCAUACCGCGUGGGUGAAGAAGGCCUUCGGGUUGUAAAGCCCUUUUGUUGGGAAAGAAGAGCAGCAGGUUAAUACCCCGCUGUUCUGACGGUACCCAAAGAAUAAGCACCGGCUAACUUCGUG